CGGGGAGGCAGCUAAGGCCCAGCGAGAAAUCGAGCACAGCAGCUGCUGGGCCAGGUGCUAAGCCCCUCACUGCACGGGGCUUGCGCGCCGGCCCGCCGGCCGCUCCGAGUGCGGGGCCUGCCGAGGCCACGCCCACCCGGAACUCGCGCUAGCCCGCAAGCGCCGCGCGCAGCCCUGGUUCCCGCCCGUGCCUCUCCCUCCACACUUUCCCGCAAGCUGAGGGAGCCGGCUCCCGCCUUGGCCAGCCCGGAAAGGGGCUCCCACGGUGCAGCGGUGGGCUGAAGGGCUCCUCAAGCACGGCCAGAGUGGGCGCCAAGGCCGAGGAGGCGCCGAGAACCAGCGAGGGCUGCCAGUAUGCUGUCACCUCUCAUUAUUACUUGCCGAUGUGAGUGGAGAAGGAGACUUGGUGAUAACAGGACUGAAAACCUUGUGUAGCUUUGAUGACUUUUCAGGUCCUAGACAAGGAUGUGGCUGGCCUUUUCCUGGAGCUUCUGACUUCCACAUCAGAAAAAAACAAAAUGGCCCCAGAAAGAGUCCCUGUUGGAUGCAAUCAUGAUUGUACUUGGAUAUGUAAAACAGCUUCUUGACAAUAUAGUUUCUCUGAAUUGGCCGUAGGUCUGUCUCAUGGCUUCCCUUAGCAUUUUCAUGCUUUGUUUCAAACUUGUGCCUUUAAGCACUUAUUCUUUGCUUACUUCCCAAAUUAUCAACCGGGUUUUUGAGAAAGGCCCAGAGUUUGCUCUCAUUAUAUCUUUGUAUUCUGAUAGGUAUAAUUUCACUGAUUAGGUCCAAAUCUCAGACUUUACGGCAAGCCAUUGUAGCCUCUUUCCCUUCUUCUUGGAAAGUGA
RNAcentral lists this long non-coding RNA (845 nucleotides) under Pan troglodytes (chimpanzee). Its description in RNAcentral is "lncRNA (ENSPTRG00000054631.1)". The record is from RNAcentral. Lineage: Eukaryota; Metazoa; Chordata; Mammalia; Primates; Hominidae.